UGGGGAAUAUUGCACAAUGGGCGCAAGCCUGAUGCAGCCAUGCCGCGUGUGUGAAGAAGGCCUUCGGGUUGUAAAGCACUUUCAGCGAGGAGGAAGGGUAGUGUGUUAAUAGCACAUUGCAUUGACGUUACUCGCAGAAGAAGCACCGGCUAACUCCGUGCCAGCAGCCGCGGUAAUACGGAGGGUGCAAGCGUUAAUCGGAAUUACUGGGCGUAAAGCGCACGCAGGCGGUUUGUUAAGUCAGAUGUGAAAUCCCCGCGCUUAACGUGGGAACUGCAUUUGAAACUGGCAAGCUAGAGUCUUGUAGAGGGGGAUAGAAUUCCAGGUGUAGCGGUGAAAUGCGUAGAGAUCUGGAGGAAUACCGGUGGCGAAGGCGGCCCCCUGGACAAAGACUGACGCUCAGGUGCGAAAGCGUGGGGAGCAAACA
Molecule: ribosomal RNA, 427 nt
Filed under: uncultured bacterium
Lineage: Bacteria
Description: partial 16S ribosomal RNA
Rfam family: Bacterial small subunit ribosomal RNA
Source: RNAcentral